This 2042-nucleotide transfer RNA is filed under the name Homo sapiens (human). Its description in RNAcentral is "HSALNT0103011". The stretch from base 1267 to 1360 matches the Rfam family "tRNA". The record is from RNAcentral. Lineage: Eukaryota; Metazoa; Chordata; Mammalia; Primates; Hominidae.
UUUGCAACAUGGAUGAACCUCGAUGUCAUUAUGCUAAGUGAAACAAGCCAGACACAGCAAGAAAAAUACUGCAUGAUCUCUUAUGUGGAUUCUAAAAAAGUCAAAUACAUAGAAGCAGAGUAGAACAGUGGUUACCAGGGGUGGAGACGUAUGGAAAUGGUUAAGAUGUUGGUCAAAGGAUACAAAGUUGCAGUUCUAUAGGAUGAAUAAGUCUAGAGAUGUAAUGCAUAGCAUAACUAUAGUUAAUACUGCAUUGUGCAUUGGAAACUUGCGGAGAGUACAUUUCAUGCGCUCUCACCACUUACACAAAAUAGUAACUGUGAAGAGAUGUAUUAUGUUAAUUAGCUUGACUGUAGAAAUCAUUUCACUGUGUACAUGUAUCAAAACAUCAUGUUGUACACCUUAAAUAUAUAGUUUUUAUUUUUAAAACACUGUUUGGGAUUAAAAGCCCAGCUAAUUCUGCCUUAAUAUCUCAUUCUUAUCCACAAUGUCCACCCAUAAGAAAGACGCCCGAUACUCCGUGUAAACACACACUCCCCAUCUCCCAUACAAAUUUACCUUCUAGAGAGAGCCCUUUUCCCCAAACUCUCCUCUCAAAACACUCUGAAGCACAAGGUCUUUAGCCUAGUUAGACAUUUUCUGAAAAACUUAGUUUAACUCAGCGUAGAGACACCAUGAAUUUCAGAGACCCAGUCCUGGGCCUGCUUCAGUUGCUUUAGCCUAGAGUUUCAACUCCCAGGUCCCGGGGAGGGAUGCUCCAAGGAAGAAAUAGAGGCCCUAUUCCAGGGCUGUUUCUCGCAGACUAGCCACAGAAAAUGCAGCCCAGCGCCACUUCCUUUCAGUAGCAACACGUUUCCAACACGUUUGUUAAGCGGGAACGGAAGUGAGCGGAAAGGAAUGCGUUUGGUAAAUCCCACUUUAAGGAUUUCGUAAUCCUCCCAGGGAUUCCCACCACCCGCACUCCACUCGCAGACUGCGGGCCUUCCUCCGACGCUGGGAGAAGGACCCUGGGAGAGGCAAGGGAAGGGCUCCGGAACCAGCGCAGCAGCGGGACGCUAGCCCGCCCACACGGCGGCCACUUGAAGGACCGGUGGCUCCCGUGGAGACCGCAGCGGAACCCAGUCCGCCUUCGCACGCGUCCGGGGGAGAAGCGGCCCCAGGACUAAGGGCGCGCGCCCGAGGAACCGGUGCUGUGACGACCAGAGCAAACACGCCGGAUGUUCCUGUGUAGGCUGUGUAAGGAGUGACCGGAAGUAGAAACUGGGUGCUCCAGUGGCGCAAUCGGUUAGCGCGCGGUACUUAUAUGGCAGUAUGUGUGCGAGUGAUGCCGAGGUUGUGAGUUCGAGCCUCACCUGGAGCAUUGUUUUCCAACCCAAAAUAGCAUUACUUGAAGUGCCUUUCCCCCUGUAAUCCGACUCCAUCGUCUUUAACGUGUUUGGAAUUGUGUACACAGUUUAUUGUUAUUGGUUUCCUUAGCCUUUUUAGAACCAAGCAACGCCAAUUACCAACAAAAUCCGUUGCGCCGCAGUGAGUUAGCUACCUUCUAUCUCCACUUUGUUCUGCACGUCGAUCUCAGCCCAGGCAGUAAGAAAACAUAUCAGCUUCCACUUUUACCUUUAAGGAGAAGCCAGCUCCCAUGUUAAGAAGUUCAAAUACCUAGAGACUGCGAUGGUUUGCAGAGGCUCAAGCUAACCACAUGGAAAGACAUGGAGAGAUAUUCCUUGCCAACCCUCAACUACUCCAACUAUUCUAAGACAUCAAACCUAAAAACAAACCGCAGGUCACCCACCGGUCUGAAGAGGAGGAUGAGAGACAAAGAAAAAAGUUGUCUGGCUGCCUCUGCUGUCUACAGAUUGAAGAAGAUCCAUCCAGCUGAGCCCAGCCUAGACCAGCUGACUUCUCCAAUAAGCCUGUAUGAAAUAAAUGCUUAUUGUUAUGUGACCUUGAGCUUUGAAGAUAGUUUGUUAUGCAAUAAUUGUUGAUUCUUUCACCCUGUCUUUGUUGAACUGUUAUAGACGUCUUAAUAGGAGUUCACAAUUCAG